UUACUUUAAAAAUCUAAAUGUUACGGCUAUGGUUUUAUAUCGCUACGCCCUUGGUGCGAAUUGAAAUUAAUUCGUGACUUAACAUUUUGGGAACCUCUGAAAAUAGCACUUAUACAGGGAAAAAGAUUCAUACGGCAACGAAGUGUCUCGACUUGCUAGACCAUUACCAGUUGAAUACUUGCUGGUAGAUGUUCCAGCUUCAACACCAGUGACUCCUCAAUAUACUUUCAAUCCGGAUCCAGAAAAGCAUCCCUUCCCGGUUGAAAACCGAUUUAUAGAUGGACAUAUUCAGGAUUUCAAUGCCUUGACAACAUACCUCCAACAAUUCAACUUCGACGAAUUCUACGAAGCGAUCGACGACUUCCAUUUACUGAUCUACAUUGCCACCAUGGAAAUGCUGCCUAUGCGAGAAUAUUUAGGCCCUCUGUUGGACGCUUUGCGCAACAAAGAUAGGAACGCAGCUACUGAGUGGUCGAGGUCUGAACAAUGGGCAACAUUGGAACAAUUGAUAGCAGCUAGUUCACCGCCACCUUCGAGACCCGGUAGUGUUUCAUCUGGAAACAUUAAUUCCUCUGCCGGAGCAUCAACUGGGCCGAAGUGGACCUGCCCAUUUUGCACGUUCAUCAACGAGUCCGACGCUCACAGUUGCGAGAUGUGUAACUUGCCUCGGUCGCGGUCUUAGGACGGGCAUCCCGAAACCGAUGAGCCUCUUGAUGUGGAAUAGAUUUUCCUUUCUAACGGUCCCCAAGUAGCUCGAAAAAGGAUAAAGGGGACAAGCCGCGUUUUUACAGAACGUUUUUUAACACAUCAAAUGUUACGUGAAUAAUUCGGUUCAGUUCUAAUUUAUUUUCUUUUGCUGUAAAUACAUACUAUAUACAACUGUUUUCAUUUCUGUAGAUAUAAGACGGUUUAUUUUAACAUACCUAUAUAAUGAAAUGGUGAAAUGAAUAAAAUUUUUC
Sitophilus oryzae (rice weevil) is the source of this 959-nucleotide long non-coding RNA. RefSeq lists it as uncharacterized. The transcript is spliced from 4 exons. The record is from RefSeq and is a predicted model, not a curated record. Lineage: Eukaryota; Metazoa; Arthropoda; Insecta; Coleoptera; Curculionidae.